This 2917-nucleotide small RNA is filed under the name Pongo abelii (Sumatran orangutan). Its description in RNAcentral is "processed transcript". The record is from RNAcentral. Lineage: Eukaryota; Metazoa; Chordata; Mammalia; Primates; Hominidae.
AUUCCACCAGGAUACAAUCUUUGAUAUACGACAGAGUUUUCCCACCAAAGAAAAAGCACAUAAGCAUGAACCACAAAAGAAAAGUUACCGAAAAAAAUCUGUUGAAAUGAAACAUAGGAAAAUCUAUGUAGAAAAGAAACUUUUGAAAUGUAAUGAUUGUGAGAAAGUCUUCAACCAGAGCUCAUCCCUUACUCUUCAUCAGAGAAUUCAUACUGGGGAGAAACCCUAUGCAUGUGUUGAAUGUGGGAAAACGUUCAGCCAGAGUGCAAACUUGGCACAACAUAAGAGAAUACAUACUGGGGAGAAACCCUAUGAAUGUAAAGAAUGUAGGAAAGCCUUCAGCCAGAAUGCACACCUGGCCCAGCAUCAGAGAGUUCAUACUGGAGAGAAACCUUAUCAGUGUAAAGAAUGUAAAAAAGCCUUCAGCCAGAUUGCACACCUGACUCAGCAUCAGAGAGUUCAUACUGGAGAGAGACCUUUCGAAUGUAUUGAAUGUGGAAAGGCCUUUAGUAAUGGUUCAUUUCUUGCUCAGCAUCAGAGAAUUCAUACAGGAGAGAAACCUUAUGUGUGUAAUGUGUGUGGGAAAGCCUUUAGCCAUCGUGGAUACCUAAUUGUACAUCAGAGAAUUCAUACUGGAGAGAGACCCUACGAAUAUCAGAAUAUGGAUGUGAAGCAACUACAUGAAAUUGGGGAAAGAACUUAAAGAACUACAAGGAGAAAUAAACAAAUCCAGAAUUAAAAUUGGAGAUUUCAGCAUGCCUCUCAAUAGAACAUAUAAAUAGAAAAAAUAGUGAGGAUAUUGAAGACUUGAAUAUUAUCACCAACUUGACCUAAUUGAUAUUUGUGGAAAUAUUCACCCCAAGAAGAGUAAAACACACAUUCUUUUCAAAUGAACCCAGAACAUUCACCCAGACAGACAAUAAUUCCAGACCUUAAAACACAUAUCAGUAAACUGAAAAGGAUUGAAGUCAUACAAAAUAUGUUUUCUAACCAGAAUGGAUUUAAAUCUAUAACAGAAAAGUAAUUAGAAAACACCCAAAUAUUUAGAACAAAAGAGUACACUUUUCAGUAACCAUAUUUCUAAGAAGAAAUAAAAAGAGAAAAUAAAUAUUUUGAGUUGAAUGAAACUUAGAAAAAAGUACAUCAAAAUGCAUGGGAUGUACUACAGUACUUAGAAAGAAAUACAGUGGCACUAAAUGCCAAUGUUACAAAACAAAUGACUCAAAUCAGUGACUCCUAUUUCCGCCUAACAAAUUAGAAAUAGCAGAGCAAUGAAACCCAAAGUUAACACAAGAAUGGAAAUAAUAAAAAUCAGAAUGGAAGCCAAUGAAAUAGAAACCUGAAAAACAAAAGCUGGUUCUUUGAGAAGGUCAAUGAAACAAACAAAAAAAUUGCAGACAAUUAAAGAAAAAGAUUAUACAAGUUAUCAGUAUCUAGAAUGGCAGAUGUGGUAUCACUACAAAUGAUAGUUAUUAAAUGAAUAAAAGAAUGUUAUGAACUUUAUGCAAAUAAUUUGACAAUUUAAAAAUUCUUGAAAGAAGCUAACAAGGUUUACUGAAGAAAUACUCAGUUCUAUAUUAGAAAAAUGGAAUUUGUGGGCAAGCGCGGUGGCUCACGCCUGUAAUCCCAGCACUUUGGGAGGCCAAGGUGGGCAGAUCACGAGCUCAGGAGAUCGAGACCAUCCUGCCUAACACGGUGAAACCCCGUCUCUACUAAAAAUACAAAAAAAUUAGCCGGGCUUGGUGGCAGGCAUCUGCAGUCCCAGCUACUCGGGAGGCUGAAGCAGGAGAAUGGCAUGAACCUGGGAGGCGGAGCUUGCAGUGAGAGAAGAUCCCAGCACUGCACUCCAGCCUAGGCGACAGAGCAAGACUCUGUCAAAAAAAAAAAAAAAAAUGGAAUUUGUAAUUUAAGCCUUCCAAAUAUUUUCAGAUGUCUGUGUUUAUUGCAACUUUAAUUCUGGUAUAGUCAAGGAACAUAGUUUGCAAAAUAAUUUUUUAAAUUUAUUAAUAUUUAUACUCUGUCUUGGUGAAUGUUUCAUGAACACUUAAAAAGAAUGUGUACCCUGCCUGGAUUGUUUGGAAUGUUUUAUAUUAACAAAUGUCAACCAGGUCAAGUUGGUUAUGUUGCUGAGGUCUUCUAUAUCCUUUUUUUUUUUUUGUCUACUUGUUCUAUUAAUUACCAAGAGGAGUGAUGAAGUCUCCAAUGACAAUUGUCAGUUUGUCUUUCUCUCUUUUCAAUUCUAUCAUUUUUCCUUGCAAUUCAAUGUGUACUCAUUUAGAAUUACAUUUUCCCAGCCAGGCGUGGUGGCUCAUGCCUGUAAUCCCAGCACUUUGGGAGGCUGAGGCAGGUGGAUCACCUGAGGUCGGGAGUUCAAGACCAACCUGGUGAAACCCCAUCUCUACUAAAAAUACAAAAAUUAGCCAGGCAUGGUGGCGGACACCUGUAGUCCCAGCUACUUGGGAGGUUGAGGCAGGAAAAUUGCUUGAAUCCGGGAGGUGGAGGUUACAGUGAGCUGAGAUUGUGCCAUUGCACUCUAGCCUGGGAGACGAGUGAGACAAGACUCUGUCUCAAAAAAAUCAAUCAAUAAAUAAAUACAUUUUCCCAGUAAACAGACCCUUUUUAUCAUUAUGUAAUCUCACUCUUUAUCCCUGAUUGUAUUCCUUGUUCUGAAGUCUACUUCAUCUGAUAGUAAUAUAGUCAUUUCUGCUUUUUUGUUAAUGUUUGCAUGGUGUAUCUUUUUCCCACCAUUUAUCUAUGCCUUUAAAUUUAAAGUAUGUUUCUGGUAGACAGCAUAUAGUUGGAUGCUGCUUUUUCAUUCAAUCAUAGAAUCUCUGUCUUUUAACUGGUAUAUGUAGACCAUUUACAUUUGAUAUUUUUAAAUAUAUAGUUAGAUUAAAAUCUCCACCUUGUUAUCUCU